RNAcentral lists this long non-coding RNA (1037 nucleotides) under Anser brachyrhynchus (Pink-footed goose). RNAcentral's name for it is "lncRNA (ENSABRG00000002857.1)". The record is from RNAcentral. Lineage: Eukaryota; Metazoa; Chordata; Aves; Anseriformes; Anatidae.
GUUUUGGAUUGUAGCUUUAUCCUGAGGAGUUCAUUUGGGUAUUUGAUAAUUAAAUACUGAGAAAGAAGUGAGACUACUAGCACACGAAAAGGAAAUCACGGAAAUGGUGCAUGUGUAGUCUCAUUGAUUUCUGAAGUGCUUUCACUUAGUGGGUGACAUUCCUGACAGUUUGAUUACUUGGAAUUUGAGGUGAAAGUGCCCAGGCAAAGAGAUCAAGUCAAGAUAGAGAAAAAUGAGGAGCACGUUAGAAUAAGAAAAUUGGACUUUUUGUGAAGAACACAAUUGCUUGUUCAUAUGUUGCUGAAAUGCAAAGAGACCUCCAGGAUGCACCAAAGAAAGGGACUAAGUAGAGAGCAGGAAGAUAGAUGAAGCUUAAAUUAUCAUCAGCAGCACUGUUUGUCAAGUAGGGUAUGCACGUCUGAGGGAGGCUGCGUGUGGCUGCUGCUGCUGACAGAGCCCAGGCAGCGUGCUCUGUGCGUGCACCCCUUCCGGAGGGACCCUGUGAAAGGGAAGUCCUCAGGCCUGGAGGAGGACAAGACUGAUGCUAGCCUCUUGGCACCGAAGUCCACCAGGACUGAAGCACAUUGACCUGCUGUGGCUGUGCAGAAAAGCUGAACUACUCAGACCCUCACUGCUCCAUGGGGCUGCUUGUGUGGUUCGUUCCAGGGGCUCACAAGAAGCAAAACCUCUCACCAGUCAUGGGAAAGGGACAUCAAUUUUGCAGUACACUUUUUGCUCAGAGGAGGCUUCCUCAGUGCACCUCCUGUCACAUAUGGGCUUAUGAAGCCCUGCAUUUCUGCUGGAAACUUCAGGGACUGUGCAUCUUGGAUGUCAGAUGCAGAAGUCAGCUUGCCCUUGCAGAUAGCAUCCUCCAAAGCCAGUCCCCCUGCAGUGGGAAUGUCCUGGAUGGCAUGGGGAGAAGCACAGGGGUAAAGCAGCUUGACAAGAGCACAAGCCAGCAGCUGGUUUGUUCUGAGAGCUGUUUUACCAAAGAUGUGUCACUGAAAAAUGGUACUGUGGACAGCAUAGCCUGCUGA